This 468-nucleotide ribosomal RNA is filed under the name uncultured bacterium. Its description in RNAcentral is "partial 16S ribosomal RNA". It matches the Rfam family "Bacterial small subunit ribosomal RNA", at positions 28 to 507 of the family's 1533-position model. The record is from RNAcentral.
GACGAACGCUGGCGGUGUGCUUAACACAUGCAAGUCGAACGGAAAGGCCCUGCUUUUGUGGGGUGCUCGAGUGGCGAACGGGUGAGUAACACGUGAGUAACCUGCCCUUGACUUUGGGAUAACUUCAGGAAACUGGGGCUAAUACCGGAUAGGAGCUCCUGCUGCAUGGUGGGGGUUGGAAAGUUUCGGCGGUUGGGGAUGGACUCGCGGCUUAUCAGCUUGUUGGUGGGGUAGUGGCUUACCAAGGCUUUGACGGGUAGCCGGCCUGAGAGGGUGACCGGCAACAUUGGGACUGAGAUACGGCCCAGACUCCUACGGGAGGCAGCAGUGGGGAAUAUUGCACAAUGGGCGGAAGCCUGAUGCAGCAACGCCGCGUGCGGGAUGACGGCCUUCGGGUUGUAAACCGCUUUCGCCUGUGACGAAGCGUGAGUGACGGUAAUGGGUAAAGAAGCACCGGCUAACUACGUG